RNAcentral lists this ribosomal RNA (253 nucleotides) under uncultured bacterium. RNAcentral's name for it is "partial 16S ribosomal RNA". It matches the Rfam family "Bacterial small subunit ribosomal RNA", at positions 524 to 776 of the family's 1533-position model. The record is from RNAcentral.
UACGUAGGGUGCGAGCGUUAAUCGGAAUUACUGGGCGUAAAGCGUGCGCAGGCGGUUCGUCGUGUCCGAUGUGAAAGCCCCGGGCUUAACCUGGGAAUGGCAUUUGGGACUGCAAGGCUUGAGUUUGGCAGAGGAGACUGGAAUUCCUGGUGUAGCAGUGAAAUGCGUAGAUAUCGGGAGGAACACCUGUGGCGAAGGCGGCCCCCUGGUUGGAUACUGACGCUGAUACGCGAAAGCGUGGGGAGCAAACAGG